CCGCUUCCGCCCAUGCCAUUCGGCCAUUGGCAUUGUCUUCAAGCGGCGGUUAGAUGUUUGAAAUUAAGUAAUAGACACUGUAGGAAUUGUCUUGUGCUUGUGAAUAAUCCAGCAAUGAAGGACAAGUAGCUGGUGAAGUAAACUUAAACAAUAUUGUCUUUUCAGAAACAGUGGUUUGCUGAAAUAGCAAAAAUUGCAUUCUUCAGUCUAGACAUAAAAUUUCAGAUUUUUCUUCGCAGACUCUUUUGAGUUUUGACUUUUGACUACGGCUGACAUGGGAGCAAAUACUGGGUCUUUGUAAGACACAUCUUAAUACAAACUAUUUGUAAAAGACUGGCAGCCAGGAAGAAAUUGGUAGUGCAAUGCAAAACCGUUGCUGUCAGAGCGUAAGACAAUCAAAAGAUGAUGACCAGCUGCAGCACAAUAACUAGCAGCCCUUUGAAACUAAGUGUUUUACGAAGUAAAAAAGUGUUAUUCUACUGGCGGAUUACGCCUGUUCUCUUGAUCUGAUAGAAUAUUACAUCAUCAUGCUGAGCACCAUGGGGAUAGGAGAUCUCAUCUGCCGUUUAGUUAUAGGGCCACUCAUCACCGUUUGGAAAUUAGACGUCACGAAACUGUACGCCAUCUCGCAGAUUGCCUGCGCCAUAACAAUUGCUUCCUUUCCAACCGUGGUGAACGGCGUCCAGAUGAUUAUCCAAGGUUUCUUAUUCAGCGUGACUUUCGGCUGUCAACGUUUGUUUCUCGCUCUCGUUCCGCGUGCGCUUUUCGGAAGUGAAAAUUUGAAUCGGAUCUUUUUUGGUGUCUCCAUGUUUUUCGGAGGGAUUGGCAUUCUUAUUGGUCCACCGAUCGCAGGACUUAUUGUGGAUAUCACGCCAGGUCGCUCUUAUUGGUUGGCCUUUGUCUUCGCCUCUGUCAUGGAACUUUUAUCGGCGAUCGCUACAAUAGGCGCGCUGUUCUUCGCUAAUCGAAAAUGAAGUCUUUCCAAAAAUUGAAUAAUGUCCGGUUUGUUGAAAUUAAGUGAGAUUUAUUUUUUUCGUUAGUUAUUUCGACAUUCUCCACAUGUUAUGGACAAUUACAGAUUUUUUUCAAAAAUAGAUACUAGGAAUUUUGCGGCUAA
Daphnia pulex (common water flea) is the source of this 1117-nucleotide long non-coding RNA. RefSeq lists it as uncharacterized. Lineage: Eukaryota; Metazoa; Arthropoda; Branchiopoda; Diplostraca; Daphniidae. The record is from RefSeq and is a predicted model, not a curated record. The transcript is spliced from 6 exons.